GACGAACGCUGGCGGCGUGCCUAAUACAUGCAAGUAGAACGCUGAAGAGAGGAGCUUGCUCUUCUUGGAUGAGUUGCGAACGGGUGAGUAACGCGUAGGUAACCUGCCUUGUAGCGGGGGAUAACUAUUGGAAACGAUAGCUAAUACCGCAUAACAAUAGGUGACACAUGUCAUUUAUUUGAAAGGGGCAAUUGCUCCACUACAAGAUGGACCUGCGUUGUAUUAGCUAGUAGGUGAGGUAACGGCUCACCUAGGCGACGAUACAUAGCCGACCUGAGAGGGUGAUCGGCCACACUGGGACUGAGACACGGCCCAGACUCCUACGGGAGGCAGCAGUAGGGAAUCUUCGGCAAUGGGGGCAAUCCUGACCGAGCAACGCCGCGUGAGUGAAGAAGGUUUUCGGAUCGUAAAGCUCUGUUGUAAGUCAAGAACGGGUGUGAGAGUGGAAAGUUCACACUGUGACGGUAGCUUACCAGAAAGGGACGGCUAACUACGUG
RNAcentral lists this ribosomal RNA (497 nucleotides) under uncultured bacterium. RNAcentral's name for it is "partial 16S ribosomal RNA". It matches the Rfam family "Bacterial small subunit ribosomal RNA", at positions 28 to 507 of the family's 1533-position model. The record is from RNAcentral.